AUGGUUUUGCAGUACCAUAGCCAAUGAGGUUUACCCGAGGCACGAUUAUUGCUAAUUGAAAACUUUUCCCAAUACCCCACCGUGACAACCUGAAAUAUGAUUGUGCCUAACAUGCAAUUUUUCACAGAGAUCUG
RNAcentral lists this small nuclear RNA (134 nucleotides) under Dasypus novemcinctus (nine-banded armadillo). RNAcentral describes it as "U4 spliceosomal RNA (ENSDNOG00000030209.1)". It matches the Rfam family "U4 spliceosomal RNA", at positions 15 to 138 of the family's 138-position model. Rfam says of the family: U4 small nuclear RNA (U4 snRNA) is a component of the major U2-dependent spliceosome. The structure of U4 snRNA from yeast and human has been reported. The record is from RNAcentral. Lineage: Eukaryota; Metazoa; Chordata; Mammalia; Cingulata; Dasypodidae.